RNAcentral lists this ribosomal RNA (465 nucleotides) under uncultured Klebsiella sp. RNAcentral's name for it is "bacterial SSU rRNA". It matches the Rfam family "Bacterial small subunit ribosomal RNA", at positions 338 to 795 of the family's 1533-position model. Lineage: Bacteria; Pseudomonadati; Pseudomonadota; Gammaproteobacteria; Enterobacterales; Enterobacteriaceae. The record is from RNAcentral.
CCUACGGGAGGCAGCAGUGGGGAAUAUUGCACAAUGGGCGCAAGCCUGAUGCAGCCAUGCCGCGUGUGUGAAGAAGGCCUUCGGGUUGUAAAGCACAUUCAGCGGGGAGGAAGGCGGUGAGGUUAAUAACCUCAUCGAUUGACGUUACCCGCAGAAGAAGCACCGGCUAACUCCGUGCCAGCAGCCGCGGUAAUACGGAGGGUGCAAGCGUUAAUCGGAAUUACUGGGCGUAAAGCGCACGCAGGCGGUCUGUCAAGUCGGAUGUGAAAUCCCCGGGCUCAACCUGGGAACUGCAUUCGAAACUGGCAGGCUAGAGUCUUGUAGAGGGGGGUAGAAUUCCAGGCGUAGCGGUGAAAUGCGUAGAGAUCUGGAGGAAUACCGGUGGCGAAGGCGGCCCCCUGGACAAAGACUGACGCUCAGGUGCGAAAGCGUGGGGAGCAAACAGGAUUAGAUACCCGGGUAGUC